CACUCUGCCAUCUAAUAUGUGUCCCUGGAGCAGAAAAGCAGUGUUGAGUCGCUGGGGGAUAUUUGUAGCAAUAGCCAACAAUACAUUGUGUGGGUCAACAU
This is a long non-coding RNA of Sinocyclocheilus grahami, 101 nucleotides long. RefSeq lists it as uncharacterized. NCBI's taxonomy places the organism in Eukaryota, Metazoa, Chordata, Actinopteri, Cypriniformes, Cyprinidae. The record is from RefSeq and is a predicted model, not a curated record. The transcript is spliced from 3 exons.